CCUGGCUCAGAUUGAACGCUGGCGGCAGGCUUAACACAUGCAAGUCGAGCGGUAGCACAGGGGAGCAAGCUCCCCGGGUGACGAGCGGCGGACGGGUGAGUAAUGUCUGGGAAACUGCCUGAUGGAGGGGGAUAACUACUGGAAACGGUAGCUAAUACCGCAUAACGUCGCAAGACCAAAGAGGGGGACCUUCGGGCCUCUUGCCAUCAGAUGUGCCCAGAUGGGAUUAGCUAGUAGGUGGGGUAAUGGCUCACCUAGGCGACGAUCCCUAGCUGGUCUGAGAGGAUGACCAGCCACACUGGAACUGAGACACGGUCCAGACUCCUACGG
Molecule: ribosomal RNA, 330 nt
Filed under: uncultured bacterium
Lineage: Bacteria
Description: bacterial SSU rRNA
Rfam family: Bacterial small subunit ribosomal RNA
Source: RNAcentral